UCUAUGAAUUUGCCUAUUCUAGAUACUUCUUGUGCCUUUUUCCAUAAUUUUUUCUUAUAACCAGCCCUUCUCAUCCAAAGGCCACAAUGAAGUCGAAGAAACCUAUAGAUGACAGCUUUCACAAUCCUUCUCUUGCCUUUUCCUGUACUGACGUAUGUUAGAGAUCUGGCUGGCAGCUUCAAGACACUUGGAAGCAAGAGGGCCACUCUAUUAAGGAUCGCUGAAGUAUGCCCACAUGUCAGGUUUCUCUCAGAUGUGGUAUCAAAACAUCAUUAUGGGCCGGGCACGGUGGCUUACGCCUGUAAUCCCAGCACUUUGGGAGGCUGAGGCAGGCAUAUGAAGAGGUCAAGAGAUCGAGAUCAUCCCGGCCAACAUGGUGAAACCCCAUCUCUACUAAAAAUACAAACAUUAGCUAGAAAUAACAAGAAAGUUAGAAAGUCUUCUGCCUCCCAUCAGAAAAUGAGCUCAAGUGUUGUAUCCAUUGAAAAUGACAUCUGAUGCUAAUCAUCUCUGAGUGAACCCUACAUCUUACAGUAAAUUGCAUAUUGCAAUAAA
Molecule: long non-coding RNA, 555 nt
Filed under: Homo sapiens (human)
Lineage: Eukaryota; Metazoa; Chordata; Mammalia; Primates; Hominidae
Description: HSALNT0358492
Source: RNAcentral